RNAcentral lists this ribosomal RNA (450 nucleotides) under uncultured bacterium. RNAcentral's name for it is "SSU rRNA". It matches the Rfam family "Bacterial small subunit ribosomal RNA", at positions 26 to 518 of the family's 1533-position model. The record is from RNAcentral.
AGAGCGAACGCUGGCGGCAUGCUUAACGCAUGCAAGUCGCACGGUCGGAGCGAUCCGGCAGUGGCGGACGGGUGAGUAACGCGUAGGAAUCUAUCCUCAGGUGGGGGACAACGGUUGGAAACGACUGCUAAUACCGCAUGAUACCUGUGGGUCAAAGGCGCAAGUCGCCUGGGGAGGAGCCUGCGUACGAUUAGCUAGUUGGUGGGGUAAUGGCCUACCAAGGCUGCGAUCGUUAGCUGGUCUGAGAGGAUGAUCAGCCACACUGGGGCUGAGACACGGCCCAGACUCCUACGGGAGGCAGCAGUGGGGAAUAUUGGACAAUGGGCGAAAGCCUGAUCCAGCAAUGCCGCGUGUGUGAAGAAGGUCUUCGGAUUGUAAAGCACUUUCGACGGGGACGAUGAUGACGGUACCCGUAGAAGAAGCCCCGGCUAACUUCGUGCCAGCAGCCGC